GGGGACAAAGUGACAGGUGGUGCAUGGUUGUCGUCAGCUCGUGUCGUGAGAUGUUGGGUUAAGUCCCGCAACGAGCGCAACCCUUAAGCUUAGUUGCCAUCAUUAAGUUGGGCACUCUAAGUUGACUGCCGGUGACAAACCGGAGGAAGGUGGGGAUGACGUCAAAUCAUCAUGCCCCUUAUGAUUUGGGCUACACACGUGCUACAAUGGACAAUACAAAGGGCAGCGAAACCGUGAGGUCAAGCAAAUCCCAUAAAGUUGUUCUCAGUUCGGAUUGUAGUCUGCAACUCGACUACAUGAAGCUGGAAUCGCUAGUAAUCGUAGAUCAUCAUGCUACGGUGAAUACGUUCCCGGGUCUUGUACACACCGCCCGUCACACCACGAGAGUUUGUAACACCCGAAGCCGGUGGAGUAACCUUUUAGGAGCUAGCCGUCGAAGGUGGGACAAAUGAUUGGGGUGAAGUCGUAACAAGGUAGCCGUAUCGGAAGGUGCGGCUGGAUCACCUCCUUU
This 511-nucleotide ribosomal RNA is filed under the name Staphylococcus aureus. RNAcentral's name for it is "bacterial SSU rRNA". It matches the Rfam family "Bacterial small subunit ribosomal RNA", at positions 1022 to 1533 of the family's 1533-position model. Lineage: Bacteria; Bacillati; Bacillota; Bacilli; Caryophanales; Staphylococcaceae. The record is from RNAcentral.